This 77-nucleotide transfer RNA is filed under the name Candidatus Desulfofervidus auxilii. Its description in RNAcentral is "tRNA-Arg". It matches the Rfam family "tRNA". Rfam says of the family: Transfer RNA (tRNA) molecules are approximately 80 nucleotides in length. Their secondary structure includes four short double-helical elements and three loops (D, anti-codon, and T loops). RNAcentral also lists the same sequence under 2 other names. The record is from RNAcentral. Lineage: Bacteria; Pseudomonadati; Thermodesulfobacteriota; Candidatus Desulfofervidia; Candidatus Desulfofervidales; Candidatus Desulfofervidaceae.
GCCCCCGUAGCUCAGGAGGAUAGAGCGAGGGAUUCCUAAUCCCUAGGUCGGACGUUCAAAUCGUCUCGGGGGCACCA